RNAcentral lists this ribosomal RNA (393 nucleotides) under uncultured bacterium. Its description in RNAcentral is "partial 16S ribosomal RNA". It matches the Rfam family "Bacterial small subunit ribosomal RNA", at positions 523 to 918 of the family's 1533-position model. The record is from RNAcentral.
AUACGGAGGAUCCGAGCGUUAUCCGGAUUUAUUGGGUUUAAAGGGAGCGUAGGCGGACGCUUAAGUCAGUUGUGAAAGUUUGCGGCUCAACCGUAAAAUUGCAGUUGAUACUGGGUGUCUUGAGUACAGUAGAGGCAGGCGGAAUUUGUGGUGGAGCGGUGAAAUGCUUAGAUAUCACGAAGAACUCCGAUUGCGAAGGCAGCCUGCUGGACUGUAACUGACGCUGAUGCUCGAAAGUGUGGGUAUCAAACAGGAUUAGAUACCCUGGUAGUCCACACAGUAAACGAUGAAUACUCGCUGUUUGCGAUAUACAGUAAGCGGCCAAGCGAAAGCGUUAAGUAUUCCACCUGGGGAGUACGCCGGCAACGGUGAAACUCAAAGGAAUUGACGGGG